GUUACCUCGUUUUGAGGUUGCACUUGCGUGUUAAUAGCCAAGUUCUUUGGCCGAAUUUGGUGGUUAGAGAAUC
This 73-nucleotide non-coding RNA is filed under the name unclassified sequences. The record is from Rfam.